RNAcentral lists this transfer RNA (72 nucleotides) under Bos taurus (domestic cattle). It matches the Rfam family "tRNA". Rfam says of the family: Transfer RNA (tRNA) molecules are approximately 80 nucleotides in length. Their secondary structure includes four short double-helical elements and three loops (D, anti-codon, and T loops). RNAcentral also lists the same sequence under 5 other names. The record is from Rfam by way of RNAcentral. Lineage: Eukaryota; Metazoa; Chordata; Mammalia; Artiodactyla; Bovidae.
UCCCUGAUAGCUCAGUCGGUAAAGAAUCUGCCUGCAAUGCAGGAGACCCUGGUUCAAUUCCAGGGUUGGGCA